GACGAACGCUGGCGGCGUGCUUAACACUUGCAAGUCGAACGGAAAGGCCCCUUUGGGGGUCCUCGAGUGGCGAACGGGUGAGUAACACGUGAGUAACCUGCCCUUGACUUCGGGAUAACUUCAGGAAACUGGGGCUAAUACCGGAUAGGAAUCCUUGCUGCAUGGUGGGGGUUGGAAAGCUUCGGCGGUUUUGGAUGGACUCGCGGCUUAUCAGCUUGUUGGUGGGGUAGUGGCUUACCAAGGCUUUGACGGGUAGCCGGCCUGAGAGGGCGACCGGCCACAUUGGGACUGAGAUACGGCCCAGACUCCUACGGGAGGCAGCAGUGGGGAAUAUUGCACAAGGGGCGGAAGCCUGAUGCAGCAACGCCGCGUGCGGGAUGACGGCCUUCGGGUUGUAAACCGCUUUCAGCAGGGGCGAAGCUUGUGGUGACGGUACCUGCAGAAGAAGCACCGGCUAACUACGUG
This 465-nucleotide ribosomal RNA is filed under the name uncultured bacterium. Its description in RNAcentral is "partial 16S ribosomal RNA". It matches the Rfam family "Bacterial small subunit ribosomal RNA", at positions 28 to 507 of the family's 1533-position model. The record is from RNAcentral.